CAAAUGAAUUGACGGGGGCCCGCACAAGCGGUGGAGCAUGUGGUUUAAUUCGAUGCAACGCGAAGAACCUUACCUGGUCUUGACAUCCACAGAACUUUCCAGAGAUGGAUUGGUGCCUUCGGGAACUGUGAGACAGGUGCUGCAUGGCUGUCGUCAGCUCGUGUUGUGAAAUGUUGGGUUAAGUCCCGCAACGAGCGCAACCCUUAUCCUUUGUUGCCAGCGGUCCGGCCGGGAACUCAAAGGAGACUGCCAGUGAUAAACUGGAGGAAGGUGGGGAUGACGUCAAGUCAUCAUGGCCCUUACGACCAGGGCUACACACGUGCUACAAUGGCGCAUACAAAGAGAAGCGACCUCGCGAGAGCAAGCGGACCUCAUAAAGUGCGUCGUAGUCCGGAUUGGAGUCUGCAACUCGACUCCAUGAAGUCGGAAUCGCUAGUAAUCGUGGAUCAGAAUGCCACGGUGAAUACGUUCCCGGGCCUUGUACACACCGCCCGUCACACCAUGGGAGUGGGUUGCAAAAGAAGUAGGUAGCUUAACCUUCGGGGGGGCGCUUACCACUUUGUGAUUCAUGACUGGGGUGAAGUCGUAACAAGGUAACCGUAGGGGAACCUGCGGUUGGAUCACCUCCUUACCUUAAAGAAGC
RNAcentral lists this ribosomal RNA (643 nucleotides) under Salmonella enterica. RNAcentral describes it as "bacterial SSU rRNA". It matches the Rfam family "Bacterial small subunit ribosomal RNA", at positions 902 to 1533 of the family's 1533-position model. The record is from RNAcentral. Lineage: Bacteria; Pseudomonadati; Pseudomonadota; Gammaproteobacteria; Enterobacterales; Enterobacteriaceae. RNAcentral also lists the same sequence under 2 other names.